UAUUGUGUUAUGCUUACAGCCAAAUUUCCAUCAAAAACAGAUUUCAGAAGCUAAACAGGGCCGGGCCUGGUUAGUACCUGGAUGGGAGACGACAGGGAACAUCAGGUGUCACAGUGG
This 117-nucleotide ribosomal RNA is filed under the name Periophthalmus magnuspinnatus. The record is from RNAcentral. Lineage: Eukaryota; Metazoa; Chordata; Actinopteri; Gobiiformes; Gobiidae.